UUUUUUUUUUUGGUUUCAGGGUAUCAAAGAACUUAUAUUUAAGAACGGAGGGAGUAUUUUUGAAAGGAGAAAUAACUAUCAACGCCUCGAGGAGAAACGUAUACACAGGCGAUUCUCAUUCCAGCUAAAUUCUCAACUUCUGAUGAAGCCAUGACUCUACACAGUUUCCGACAAACAACAAAUUCCCGCACAAAAAAUACUGGAAAAAGGGAAUAAGAAAUGUAUAUACAGGCGAUGCUCUCACAUAUCAUGAAUCAGGACAGGUACUCAAAAGGUUGGGGCGGCUGGGGCUCGUCGUCGUCGACGGCCAUGGCAGAGGCACCGGGCACCGGCUGCCCUGUCGCGGGGGCGUCGGUGAGCACGACGAGCUCCUCGGCCUCGCUGGGCUGCAUGUCUCGUAGGAGGAUGAACCCGCCGCAGGGGGCGGGCCUCACGGGGACGUAUCGGCUGCCCUCGAUGAACUUGAUGAACUUCUCCUGCAGGGGGACGACGCGGGCUGGGUUCGCCAGGAUCUGGAAGGCCGGUUCUGGCUCUGGAGCCUUCUUCUCUGCAGUGCUGUCCACCUGGGAACAAAGAUUUCAGAGAGACGGGUCAAUCCAAAUGAGGCAGACACUGGGGUGGGUUCAUUACUGAGCAGCACAAGGCUGCAUAUUAACAGCUAAGGGCCAAGGGCGUAGCUAUGUUGUACUUGCUGUGAUGUCUAGUCCGUAAGAGGAUGCUGAUACAGUAACCAAGAUGGUUGUGAUGAAGUAAAACGACUAGAAUGUGGUUUAAUUAAUUAUAGGCUGAACCUUUCGAAGUUUGUAAAAUUCUUGGGUGAUGGGAAGAGGGUGAAGCGAAGCACAGAUUAAAUGAAGUUUUAUUCUUACCUGCAUUGCAUCAGCUGCCUUGCCAGAAGUAGAACCGGAAGCAUCUUCCGUUGACUUCUCCUGGUUAGCAGCUUUGCUUUCUGCUUCUGCUGCUGUCUUCUCCUGGUUAGCAGCAGCUUUGCUUUCCGCAUCCUUCUUCGCCCUAGAUUUUGCCUUGGCAUAGGUUGACAAAAUGGCUGUGGGCAGCUCGACAGCCGAAGUUGUAGCCUGCUGGGUCGUCGGUUUCGGAUACUCAAAGAGGGACGGCUUAGCAUGUGACAUAAAUUCAAACUUCGGCACUUCCAGAUUCGAGUUGAGACCCAUGAUGGCCGUUGGCGAGAAGGCCAGGCUGAUGAAGUAUAGGAGAGGGUACCAGUACCAGAACUGGGUGAAAACAGCGAGGCCAAUCACAGCAGUGAGCUUGUCAUGCUUGUUCCUCGAGCGAAGUUUGAUUGUGACAUUCCUGCCACCGGCAUCUAGAAUGCCAGAAGCAAGUAUGGCGCCCAUUUUGCUCAUGGUGUCCUCGUGCUUGUCAAGAAUGAUCUUUUCCAACUGACGCCUAAAUGUUCCAACACGAGAAUCAAAGGACUCAUUAGUCUGGAUCAUGACCAUUGCCAUAGCAAUUAGAGCCCCCUGGCGUACGAAGUCAACAACGUCUGAUGUGAGAGGCUCCAACAAGGAAAUGGCAUCACUUAACCCUGUGCCUGCACAGGAUAUCCCAACAGCUAGGGCUGCACCAUAACGAACAUGUGGGUUGUACGAUUCAGAGAGCAGGGACACAAUUCUUGGAGUCUGCAUUAUCAGAACAGAAGAUGUAAGUUGUGGAUCAAAGCUAUUGAUGAUUCUUUAUUUUAGCAUUUUUUUCUAUUAGAUGCCAAAGAGGUGCAGCAGCAUAAAUGCAUAAUGAACACCAGGUCCAUGUUGUUCCUUGGAAUAAAAUUGAAUAGAGGGCAGACCUGCUCAGGUUCGUUGUAUAGAACAAAUCCAAGACCCAUAACUGCAGUCCUACGAACAUCAUCACUGACGUCCGAUACAGCGAAGUGCAGCAGCUGAUGGAUAGCUUUGUUGUUUGCAGUUCCUCUGUACGCUAGAGCCAAUGCAUACAUACCACCAUAACGUAGUAUGGGAUCUUGAUCUCUAGUCAUUUGUUCGAUCAAGGUGUCAGCUUCCUCCUCCCUGCCAUACAUUGUCAAUGCGAUGCCAAGUGCCAAACCCCUGCGGAGCGAGAGAGAAAGAUGUCAGAAACAAGAGCUAGAUGCAUCUUCAGAAAUACCGCAACAAUUAUUGAACAGCACUGACCUGAUAAUCUUUUCAUGCUGUGUAUCAUGUGCAUAAGCAAGCAUCUCACCGGCCUUCUCACUGGCUGUGCCAACCAUGAGCAAACCCAUGCCGAUACCAGCUGCUUCACCAGCUACUGCACUGUCUGUGUAAAGGACAUUCUUUAUGUCCUCAAACACUUCUUCAUCUGCUGUCCCGAGAGAUGCAAGCCCAAGUCCCAAACAGGCACCAUGCUGGAUGACCUGUAUAAUAAUACAGUUUUGAUUAAGAAAAUUCACAAUAUAAUUAGCAUUACGCAAAAAGGACAAGGAACAAAAUGUCACCUCUGCACUGGUGUUGCGAAGGCUUUCACGGAGGAAUUGUUUGAUUCCUUCGCCAUGGUUGGCAUGAAUCAAACCUAAAGCAUAGAGGGCACCACCUUCUGAAUAUGGACUGCCACCACCAACUGCACCAUUUUGAGGUAGGUACGGGGCCAUCAAAGCCCGACCUUGCUGAAGGUGGCCUCUAUGAAUGACACCCAGUCCAGCUGUCGCACUAAAUUUAGCCCACUUGGUUGCCUUGCUUAACCAUUCCUAAAAGACAAUACCAAAAUGAGACAUUACAGGGGCAAAAAAAAAACUCUGCAUGACAACAAAACAACCAGAUUUUUUUUUACCAGAUUUUCUCUUAAAAAGGUAUCUACAGUUGUUCCUGCAUGCAUGAUCGCAUUGGAACAAACAGUUGCACUAUGGCAAACAUUGCCACUCGUUUCCACAGCCUGCUUUAUUGUCUUCAGAAUUAGAAGAUCAGACCUACCAAACAAACAAACCCAUCAAGGUGAUGUCAGAUAUAGAAGUUGCAAGAGACCAGGGUUCAACGUUUAGGACAUAAUAAGUUUACCUGUUGUGGCUAUACAAAAAUUGCAGCGUAAGCUGAAUAGACUUCUCCCCUGACAGUAUCCCUUUAAGUUUUGCAAGCCUAUCAGCAUGCGCUGCCUCAUUUGGAUCCACUGGGUGAGCAUUUCUGUUUGAAGUAGUUGUGCCAUCUCCCAUCUGAACAUCACCCGCUGGUUCUGUGCUAGUUGUACGCGCGUUAACAGUCUGAUCAACCGGUAAAGCUGACUGGCCAGGAGUCUGUGAGUCCAGGCGAUUCCCCACAUUCAGAAGGAAGGCCUGAUUUUCAUUUUCCACUAGAUCAAAAGCAAUUUGGUAUGCAAUGAGAGCAUCAUCCUGCAUAAUGAACACAAUAUCUCAAGUAAGCAACAGAGACCACAAUGUAAGUAGUGGUGGGCAGAGUAAAGAACAAACAUAUACCUGGCUUCCAGAAAGUAGUGUGUCCAAUAUAUUCGCAACAGUUUCAUGCUCGCCCAGAACCAUAAGGCACUGGCAGAUGCUCAGAUAAUCUGGAUGCGGCAAAGUCUGGUAUAUUUUAACAAGACAGCGAAGAACCUGGCAAUAAAAUGAAUUAUUAGAUCAACACAUAAAGAAUGUUAAUUUUUGAUUAUUGUAAACUAAACUACUUGCUUUUUAACUUAAUAAACCAAUCAUACUGCCAAAUAAAUUUUAACAUAAAAAACUUAGGAUACCUCAGAACGAUAUUCACGGUGACUAACAUAUUGAUGAGAAAAGUUGAUGCAAUAUGAAAGAGCCCCGUGAAUAUUAGCACACUGAACAAUUGCUUCCUCCAGCUUAUCCAGUCUCCUGCAUUCAACAGCCAUACCCAUGGCCUGUUGGUAUUUCCCAUCAAGAAUACACCUGCAGCAAAGAGUAACAUUAGCUAAAUACUCCAUCUGAUAAAUAAGAGUAUAUGUGCAAACGGUAGGAUAUAUUAUCAUACCUCUCCAACAUCCUCUCCACUAUGGCCUCUAGUCUAGGAUCCACAUUCUCUUCUUCCUCCAUAGCUUUAGAAGCUCUUGUCUUGAAACUCGCAUAUUCAUCUAAUGCUUUGGCUGAAAGAAAAGAAGCACCAAUUCAACACAAUGAGCAAAAGAAAUUCAUGUGAAAUAACAUCCAGAAUGAUUGAGAAAUAAAGACAAGUCGUCACCUAAAAGAGCCAGAGCAUAAUCAGAAUCCUCAGAAACAUCAAACAGAGGUCCAGCACCAAGUGCAUACGACAGUGCAUCGUUUAACUCGCCCAGGUAGUAGAACACCUACAUGAUAAUGAUACGCAGCAGUCAUCAAUAUAAGCAAUGCAAAAUACGCCGCUUCUAGAAAAGGUAUAAAAUAACUUGAGAUCCUACCUUAGAAACAACUAGUGCAGCAAGCUGUCUCUGGUCAAAUUCGUCGUCUUCAUACAUGCUCUCGCUGCAGGCAAAAGGAUAUGAUGGAAACAAAUUAUUGAUUUGCUUCCUUGGAAAUUCAGACAAGGAAUUUAUAAUCUGAGCUUGGGUAACAAACAAUAGAUUGACUUCCCAAAACAUGUGUCAUCCUAAACUAUUGCAACUUUGCAAGUAACAGUUGAAUGGUCAGUCUGUCAAAGAUGUUUCUUAGCACAGGGCAGGCAUUACAACUGAACUGAUUAUAAGCAACCGAGCGAAUCGAACUCGUAAAACAACUUGCACCAAACUGAAAGUUGAAAGCUUUCUGAAUUGUCUCCCCUCCUCAGUUGACACCUCACUCCUACAACUGUCAGUUAUAUCUAUCAAAGUGCAAAGAGUUGAAAUUUUUACGACUGCUACCAAAUACAGUAGCAUCGUUUUGUGAAUUCGCUUCGAACUCUCACGGAGGGCACAUCCGCGCACUCGGACCGGACGAGGCCAACCAAACGAAUCGCGGGACGGAAGGGAAAUCCUCGUCAACCGGCCGGCAUCUAGGGCGGCGGCAACUAGGUAUCGCGGGGAGGAUACGGGAGGGGGGGAGGGGUCUCACAUGGCGGGGAUGCUGGUGGAGAUCUCCGGGUAGAAGAGGUGGACGACGGAGUUGAGGCUGGCGAGCGCGUGCAGCUUGAGCUCCUCCGCCGGCUCGUGGAGCAUGGCGAGGAUCCCGCCCGCCGAGCUCACCGUCGCUGUCGCCGCCAUGGCCGCGUCGGCGAAGAGGUUGGUGUGCGCGAUGGUCUGUGGUUCGGUUCGGUGCGGGGCGUGUCGUGAGUUGGAGGAUGAGCACGCGAGACCUGGUACGCCGUCGUUGGGUUGCGGGCGAAUAUAAGGGCAGGACGGCGCGAUGGGUCGGUCGACUCGACUAGGGAGUCGGGCGACCAGUCCGACGCCAAAUCCUUCUGCGCUCCGUAACGAAACGGGCCGGCCCACUUAGCAGUGGUAUAGGAGUGGUCUGGCCGGUUUCUUUUGUGUGUUUUCUGUCCGUUUUCUGCUGGCGUUUGUUCAUUUUUUAACUUUUCUGUUUUCUAUUUAUUUUUCUUCAUCUUAAUUUUCGUGAAUUUUUAUUUUUAAAAUUCGUGAUUUUUUAUAUUCACAAAUUUUGACCAAAUUAGUGAACCUUUUCCAAAUUAUCUAAUCUUUUACCAAAUUUUACAAUUUUUCUGUAAUUCGUGACUUUUUCAAAUUUUGUUUUUUUAAGUAAAAAAUUCCAAAUUCAUGAACUCUUAUCCAAAUUCAUUAAAUGUUUUAAAUUCUUGCUAUUUUUCAAAUUCAUGAACUUUUUCAAUUUUGUGAAGUUUUUUCAAAACCCGUGAACAAUUUUUUUGAAUUAUAUGCUUUUUGAAAUCACAUGAACUUUCUCGAAAAGGAAAAUGGUUAACAGUCUAAGUCAAAGGUCAACUUAUCGGAAAGUGAACCAAUCAAACCAUCAACCCUCUCAGCCACUCGCUCACCCGUGCCAUGUGGUGAGCACCACUUUGUUGGGACGGCCCACAAGCCCUCUCACGUGAGCAUCAUUUGCAUAACAAGGGCAGCAGGUUCUGAGGAGGAGGUCUAUAGUCCUACUAUGUUUGUUGACUUCAUUCGCGAUCAGGCGGAAGAGUCAGUUUUCGUCCGCACCUGGCUGAAGAUGACGUUUUCGUCCAAGCAUGGGCCAAAGAUGGACUCUUUGUUGCGGCUCUGGGCGAAAAUCAUCUCUUUAGUCAAUGUUAGACCGAAGAGGGCUUCUAGGUCCACCUCUUCACGUAAACUGCCAACAAAGUUGCAUGUCGUUCUUAGGGCGGACGAAAAGUUGCUCUAGAGAAACAAUUCGAGGUUUCACGGAAAAUCAAGGGGACAAUGUCCUAGUGCCGACAUUGGGGACGAGUUUUGAUACUUUGGGAGAAGCCUACGACUUUUACAACCUGUACUCUUGGGAGAAGGGAUUCGGCAUUAGGUAUGGAAAGAUUUGACUAGGCCUCCUUUGGCUUGGAGGAAUUUUAGAGGACAGGAUUCUUAUAGUUUAUUUUUUUUCUUUAGAGCCCUUUGGUUCAUAGGAAUGGAUUCCUAUUCCUACAUAGGAUUGCUUCCUAUCCUCCACAUUUCAUAGGAAAAUAAAAAUGAGCCUAGACUCAAUGGAAAAAUUCCUUUGGUGUCAACCAAAUGGCAUCUCGUUUUCUAUUCCUACCCAUAGGAUUUGAGAUACAUGUCAUCUCAUUUCCUACAAAAUUCUUAUCCCUAAGAUAAUCAUAUCCUAUGAACCAAAAGAGACCUAAAUGUUGAGAAGACGAAGCGCAUGCAAGAAGUUGUUUGUGGGUGUGCGGUGAGUACAUCUUACUAUAAUGUAUGAUGUGUUUGCACAAAAAACUGGACAGAAAAAUGAAAUGUAAAUAUUUCGCUAACGUUUGAAUGUGGUGUUCUUGUUCAUGGUAAGGCGGGGUGGAGAACACAAGGUCUUGCCGUUGUGAGUGCCCUACACUGAUAAGAUUGUUGAGAUCAAAGGACAAUGGCUGGUACAUAGCAGAGCACCAUGAGCAGCACACUCGUUUGUUGUCCCCGACGUAUGGGCAGACAAUACACUGGCCGUCUGCCCAUCACACAAGCAUAUAAAUGUCUACAACCGGGAUUUGGUGAAGAAGCUUCGGCAGCAAUGUCAACCUUGCAAAGGUGUACAACAUUAUUGGUAGCUUCUUUGGAUCCAUGGAAAAGGUCCUUUCACAAAGAGGGCGUUGAAGAAUCUGUGUGGUAAGAUAAACCAUGAGCAGGCAGAGGAUGAUGUAAGGAAAACAAUGGAAGUUUUUGCCGAGCUUUUUGCGAGAGAUCCACACUUGCACCCUUCACCAUGUGCAAGCUGACAAGGGCAGUAGGGUCACAUCGUUGAUGUGGGCAAAUAGAAGUAGUAGAAAGCAGUACACCUUCUUCGACAAUGUUGUUAUGUUUGACAUGACUUACAACACAAACCUCUAUAAUACGCCCUUUGGGCUUUUCGUCAGAGUUAACAACCAUUUUCAAAGCAUAAUACUCGCGGGAGUGCUAGUCCGUGACAAGAUGGUGGAGACAUUUGAGUGGGCUAUCUCUGAGAUCGUUAGGAUGAUGGGAGGCAAUGCGCCAAAACAAUUUUGACAGGUACAAGUUUAUGCACAUGAUAGUGCUAAUUGCAAUCGGAUGAGGUUAGCACGCACACACACACACAGAGAGAGAGAGAGAGAGGGAGAGAGAGAGAGAGAGAGAGAUAGAUAGAUAGAUAGAUAGAUAGAGAGAUGGCAGUCGUUUCGAGGAAGAAGAAAGCCUCGAUGUUAUCCCGAAACUCUUCGUUUGGGAGUGGAACGAAGAAUUCAUCUUUGUUUUUUCACGGGUAGAAUUCAUCUUUGGUGCUGCCGCGGACGAAGACCGUCUCUUUGGCCCAACAGGCCAUGAGGAUACCUCUUCGGUCGAGGAAAGAGUCUUUUCGGUCCACGAGGGAACGAAGAGUGAUCUUCAGUCAUGGCAUGACCCAUGAGGUUUAAUAUAAAAAAGUCCAAAGACAAAUUUGCUAUGGAAACAUCAUACCCUAGAGUUUUUAUGGGAGGAUGAGCCCCAGACUUCAUGGUUGAAUGCCUUUCAAACGAUGUAACUAUAUUACCUAUGCAAUAAGGUAUCCAUGAUGGCAUUCCCCCAAAAAAGAUAUAAUAAAUUAUACACUCUCGAAACUUCCACGUUCCAUCAAGAUAUUUAUCAGACCAUAUGUAUUUCUAACAAUAUAUGCAUGAAUAAUAAGACAAGCGCGAACAUAUACGUAUACCUAUGAUACAUCAAAGUGUCAUAAAAUUGGUCAAUGGAGGGCGUAAUUUCGUUUAGUUUGUAUCUUUAUGUGGUCUAGGUGGAGCUCCCAUAUUGCCUAAGUUUUGUACGAGGAAAUAUCUCGAGGGUAAAAAUUAACAUGACUUUCCUUUUAGAAUAUUAUUUAAGCCUAGUGUACAAUAACAUCAUAGUUGAAUAUUCAAUUGUUGUAUUUGAAUAUUUAAAUGUACAAUUAUAUUUUUAAUUUGGUUAAAGAUAAUAGAAAUAUACCAUUUAAGACCAUGCUUAGGUGCAUUUAGUUAUAAAGUAGUAAAAAAUGUUCACCUCGGUGUGGGUGCAUGGCGGUUGCGGAGAUGAUGUACGCCGGCGGCUAAAGGUGCGGCCGGAUAUAAAGGAUAACGCAGGCUUGCGGACGAUGAGCACGUGACCAGACGAGGUACGCCAGCGUUGUGGGCGAAUAUAAAAGGGGGGACGACGCGAUGGGUCGGUCGACUAGGAUAGGGAGUCGACCAGUCCGACGCCAAAUCCUAUUCUGCGCUCCAUAACGAAACGGGCCGGCCCACUUAGCACUGGUAGUGCGGUUUUCCUAUUAUGGUGCCGGUUUCUUUUGUUUGUUUUCUGUCCGUUUUCUGCUGGCAUUUGUUCAUUUUUUUAACUUUUCCGUUUUCUAUUUAUUUCCUUUUUAUUUUUCUUCAUUUUAAUUUUAGUGAACUUUUCUUUUUAAAGUUUGUGAUUUUUUUAGAUUCACAAAUUUUGACCAAAUUCGUCAACUUUUUCCAAAUUAUCUAAUCUUUUACCCAAUUUUGCAUUUUUUUCUGAAAUUCGUGGCUUUUUCAAAUCCAUGAAUUUUUUCAAAUUUUGUUUUGAAGUAAAAAAAACUAAAUUCUUGAACUUUUUUUAAAUUCAUGAACUCUUAUCCAAAUUCAUUAAAUGUUUUAAAUUUUUGCAUAUUUUUCAAAUUCAUGAACUUUUUCAAUUUUGUGAAGUUUUCUCGAAACCCGUGAACAUUUUUUGAGUUCUAUACUUUUUGAAAUCACAUGAACUUUCUCGAAAAAGAAAAUGGUCAACAAUCUAAGUCAAAGGUCAACUUAUCAAAAAGUGAACCAGUCAAACCAUCAACCCGCUCAGCCACUCGCUCACCCGUGCCAUGUGGUGAGCAUCAGUUUGUUGGGCCGGCCCACAAGCCCUCUCACGCGAGCAUCGUUUGCUUAAACAGGGCAGCAUGUGCUGAGGAGGAGGUCUAUAGUCCUACUGCGUUUGUUGACUUCAUUCGCGAUCAGGCGGAAGAGUCGAUUUUUGUCUGCACGUGGCUAAAGAUGACGUUUUCGUCCAAGCAUGGCCAAAGAUGGGCUCUUUGUUGUGGCUCCGGGUGAAAAUCAUCUCUUCAGUCAAUGUUAGACCAAAGAGGGCUUCUAGAUCCACCUCUUCACGUAAACUGCCAACAAAGUUGCAUAUCGUUUUUAGGGUGGACGAAAAGUUGCUCUUUGUUUUGUUGUGGAUGAAUUUUUUUUUUCUGAUUGCCCUCAUCAUUCCCUCUCACGCCCUUUUCCUUCCCGCCCUUUCCCUUCCCGACAUCCCUCCCCCGCCCUUUUCCUUCCCGCCAUCACCUCUCUUGUGCUUUUUCUUUCCGACAUCUCACUCCUCCUCCUUUGUUCCUUUCCACUCGUUCUCUUGCCUCGCUCAUUCUAUUAAACUCCUCCCCUACUUGUUGAUUAUGAAUGUCCCAAACUUGUCCUCCAUCGUCCUCUGAUUAGCCUUCCCUCACCUUCAUCUUCUUCAAAAUUACCAGAAUCUAUAUCACCCGCUAAUCUAUCAUCAUCCUUCUCUUCCAUCACCCUGUGCAUUUCCUUCCCUUUCACAUUCCCAUUAGACAAACCACUACCACCAAUUACUACUGAUUGACUGCUCAACCCUACUUCAUGACCAAUGAAAAUGUGUAACACAUAAUUUGACUCUACAUCGGGAUGGCUAACAUCCACUGGUUGUGACCCAGGUGGAUCAAUGUCAUUAUAAUUAGACGACUGGCUACCUUGGUCGGGUUCAUAGCAUAUACCCCAUCGCCAUCCAACAAACUCUCCUACUUCCAUCAAGAUAUUUAUCAGACCAUAUGUAUUUCUAACAAUAUAUGCAUGAAUAAUAAGACAAGCACGAACAUAUACAUAUACCUAUGAUACAUCAAAGUGUCAUAAAAUUGGUCAAUGGAGGGCGUAAUUUUGUUUAGUUUGCAUCUUUAUGUGGUCUAGGUGGAGCUCCCAUAUUGCCUAAGUUCUGUACGAGGAAAUAUCUCGAGAGUAAAAAUUAACAUGACUUUCCUUUUAAGAUAUCAUUUAAGCCUAGUGUACAAUAACAUCAUAGUUGAAUAUUCAAUUGUUGUAUUUGAAUAUUUAAAUGUAUAAUUAUAUUUUUAAUUUGGAUAAAGAUAAUAGAAAUAUACUAUACCAUUUAAGACCAUGCUUAGGUGCAUUUAUUUAGUUAUAAAGUAGUAAAAAAUGUUCAGCUCGGUGCGGGGGUGUGGCGUCGCGAGUUCGGUUGCGGACGAUGAGCACGGUUGCGGAGGAUGUACACCGAUAUCGGAAGGUGCGGGCGAAUAUAAAGGACGGCGUGAUGGUCGACUAGGAUAGAGAGUCAGACUAGUCCGACGCCAAAUCGCGCUCGGGGCGCAGACACCCCCGACCGAAACGGGCCAACCCACUUCGUACUGUACCGGUAUGCGGUUUCUAGUUUUUUUUUGUGGCCGGUUCUUUUGUGUUUUUUUUCUGUCUCUUUUUUGCUGGUUUUUGUUAUUUUUUUUCUUUCAAGUUUUGUCUUCAUUUUUCCUUCAUUAUUCAUUUUUAUUUUCAUGAAAAUUUCUUUUACAUAUUCAUGAUUUAUUUUAAAUUUGCAAAUUUUGUCCAAAUUUGUGAAAAAACAAAUAUCUUUUUCCGAAUUUCAAUGUUUUCAAAUUCAUGAAUAUUUUCCCAAAUUCACAAAAAAAAAUCAAAUUCAUGAUUUUUUCCAAAUUAACAGUUUUCCCUAAAUUUCCUGAACUUUUCAAAUGUGUUAACUUUUUAAAAACCCAUGAAUGUUUUUUCCGAAUGCUGCAAUUUUUAAGAUCACAUGAACUUUUCAAAAAAAGUCAAUGGUCAAGGGUCUAAGUCAAUGGCCAAUCUGCCAAAAGGUGGACCAAUCAAACCAUCAACCCGCUUAGCCACUCGCUCACCCGUGCGUGUGGUGACCACAGGUUUGUUUGGCCAGCCCACAACGCUCUCUUGUGUGAGCACCGUUUGCUUAAUUGGUGCACAAGCGCUACGAAGGAGGUCUCUAGUUUGAAUGUGUUUGUCAACUUCAUUCGCGGACAGGCCGAAGAGCCAGUUUUUGUCCGCACCUUGGUCAAAGAGGACAUUUUCGUCCACAUAUGGGCCAAAGACGGGCUCUUCUUUGCGGCUCCGGACGAAAAUCAUCUCUUCAGUCAUUGUUAGAUUGAAGAGGGCUUCUAGGCCCAUCUCUUCGCGUAAACUUCCUAACGAAGUUGCAUGCCAUUCUUAGGGCGAACAAGAGUUGCUCUUCCUUUCUAUUGAGGAAGAAGUCUUUUUUUAUUGCCCUUCAUCAUUCCCUCUCACGUCCUUUUCCUUCCCACCAUCCAUCUCCCGCUCUUUCCCUUCUCGUCAUCCCUCUUCUACCCAUUCCCUUCCAGCCGUCAUCUCUCACACGCCUUUUCUUCUCUACAUCUCACUCAUCCUCCCAUGUUCCUUCCCACCCUCUUGCCUCGCUCAUUCUAUUAACCCCCCCCCCCACUUGCUGUCUCUGAACGUCCCAAACUUAUCAUCCAUUGUCCUCUGCUUAGCCUUCACAUAACGAAUUUCAUAGUUAUAUGUUGCUUUCACCGCAUUUUGGUGUGCUUCGCUUCCAUGUCUUUCUUCUCCACUAUCUCAUUUAUACAUGAGUUUUUUAUGAGAGUUGAAUUCAGGUUGGGAUGAUCAACUAGAAUGUUUUUCCUCACAUAAUUAUAUGGAACAAUAUUAGUGACAACCCAGUGCAUGUUUCACUUGGGCAUGUGGUCGUGCACCUUGUCGAGAACCAUUUUAAGCACAUUUCAAAGUUAUAAGUUUGUUUGACUUGAUAUGUGUGUGUGAAAACCCUAUGCACCGACAUAGCCCGCUCCAUUAUGUCACUUCAUUCUUCAGUUGUUUCUUUAUGGCAUAAAUAGCGAAAACUCAAAACGGUGCCCGGGCUCAUCUGCUCCCUCUCAGCAAAAAAAAACAAAAAAAAAUAAUAGAAAUUUUUUAAAAAUUCCAAAAAAAAUUUGGUGGUAGAUAAUUUGACGCGUGAGGUGCGCCCCAAAAUUCAACUUAUUUGGACAUCUGAGCAGCUCCCGGCAAAAAAGACAAAUCGGGUCAAAACAGUGCGUGAACAGUGAACAUUUUUACAGACCCUGAUUUUGUCUUUUUUGCCGAGAGCUGCUUAGAUGCUCAAAUGAGAUGAAUUUUGGGGCGCACCUCACGCGUCAAAUUAUCUACCACCAUAAAAAAAUUGGAAUUUUUUGAAUUUUUCUAGUAUUUUUUUAAAUUUUUUUCUAAGCGUAGGUGCAGAUGAGCCCGGGUGCAGAUUAGCCGCACUCCAUAAAUAGCACCUAUUUUGGACCUGGUUCUAAUGAUAUUCCCAUGCAGACUCAUGGACUCCCAUCGAUUCAUGGUCAGGCCGGUUGAGAGGCCCUGAUUCCAUGCAUAAGGAAUCGACACCUCCUACUUGUCGUCAUCCUCACUCACCUUCAUCUUCUUAAAAAAUAUCAGAAUCUAGAUCAUCCGCCAAUCCAUUCUCAUCCGCCAAUCCAUUGUCAUCCUUCUCUUCCAUCAUCCUUUGCAUUUUCUCCCCUUCCCCGUCCACAUUAGCCAAACCACUAGCAGCAAUAUUAGCCAAACCACUAGCAACAAUUACAGAUGACUGACUCCUCAACCCUGUUUCACGACAAACGACGACGUGUGGCAUGUAAUUUUACUAUUCAUCGGUUGUGACCCAGGUGGCUGAAUCUCAUUAGCCGACUGACUACCCUGGUUGGGUUCAUACACCCGGCCGCCUUCCAAUAAAUUCUCCUCCUUCGGCACAGUGAAUCAUCCGUUUUCUGCAACGCCUUAACCAGGUCAACCACUUAGGCUGGUCAUAGUGAGAAGUAACUUAGACUAGUAACAUGCAUAUGUUACUACCUCUAUAGUGCAUAUUAUCAUAGAUUAGUAUCAUAGAUGGUUUCAUUUAUUGCUAUGCAUGACACAUAGUAGCAUCACAUUUAUUAUGUUACGGUAUCUACCUAUGUUACUAUAACCAUCUUUCUCUUCUUUAAUUGCCUGCCACAUAAGCAUGUUUGCGAGUUCCAAGUGCAUGAUACUACUUAUGUUACCCCCACUAUGGUCAGCCUUAGGCUGGUCAUAGUGAGAAUAACAUAAGUCGUAACAUACAUGCCACAUAAGCAAAAAAGAUGAUGUGUCAGGUAAUUAAUGAAGAGAGAGGCAAAUAGAGUAACAUAAUAUGUUACCAUCACAUAGCGGUUUCCAAUGCAAAACGAGUCUACAAAGUAAUAAAUGAGGUGAUGCAUGACACACAUAUGUUACUACCCACUAUAGAGGUAGUAACAUAGACUAGUAACAUAUGCAUGUUACUAGUCUAAGUUACUCCUAUCUAUCAUGUUCAACUCCCACAAAACAUUUUUACCAGAUUUGGUCCAUACUGCAUAAAUACUAACGGAGCACUCGUUGGGAUCAGACCCAAGACUUGUUGUCAACCAGUAUUUCAACUUGUUGCCAUAGUAAACAGUGCAAUCCACGGACUCAGACAUGCCACCUGCCAUACAACUCCAUAUUUGCCAUUAAACACAUUGAACAAAUAGUCACUCCUAACAAUGGUAACCAACAGGGGUGCCCCUCGAGCAGCAACUGCAAUGACAUCCUUCCUCCCAACGGUGGCCCAAACCCUCCCCAGACUGUGCCCUCCCCUCUGGACACAGGCGAGGAAAGAAGACCUCGCAGCACGUAUUCUGCCAAUGCCUCCCAGCCUCCACGACACCAGCAAAGGCCUCCCUCCCCGUGCUUGACCCAAUCUAAAUCGGUAACAGCCGGCCAAAUCGAUACCCUGGGAGCUUAGUGAAUUUAGAGAUUCAUCUGCUGUUGAGUACACAACAAUUACCUCGCGAUAUGGAUGAACAAGACAAUCACAUCCCUGGAUCUGUAGAAAGAAGGGCUUCAUCUAGGCAGCAAAUGAGGUUUCGACAAGCAAUGAUCAAGUUCAGACUCCAUUUGUUUGCAAGAGCAGCGCGAGCCGAAAUUGCACCAUAAUACUCAGUGGUACUCUUCCAGCCGUCCAUCUCACACGCACAGACACAUUGUUCACAUCGAUAAUAACAAGACUAACAACGGAAUCGCCAAUCAAUCAAUAAAAUAGAGUCAAUUAAAACACAAGGAAAAUGACAAGUAGCCAAGAGCUAUAGGAGGAACCUGAUGGUGGAGACCACAACAUACUAGUACAAGUUCCCACAUAAGAGGUUCCGAGCAACUAUAUCAAAGAAAUGCUUUAUUAUUAUUCCACGGUUUGUCAACUUCGGAGGCUACAAGAACAGCAGGCGUAAUGUGUCGUCAAACAAAAUAAGACCCCAGAACAGGGAGCAAUCUAGAAUCAUAUAAGAAACCGACCAACAACUGACAAAUAUAGCUGCUCCAGGGCAUACCCCCCCUUCCUACAUGAUGUCAACACUCUAGGCUGCAAAACUUAAGACAGGGACAAUCAUUUUGCCUUUAUUCUCUUCGUACGGAGGAGUUAAACUCCUCCUUUA
Molecule: long non-coding RNA, 14971 nt
Filed under: Triticum aestivum (bread wheat)
Lineage: Eukaryota; Viridiplantae; Streptophyta; Magnoliopsida; Poales; Poaceae
Description: long non-coding RNA (TAES_LNC009109)
Source: RNAcentral